AAGCGCGCCCCGUAAAACGGGACGGCCCGCCAGAGGACCCAAACUCUAAUGUUUCUUAUUGUAACUUCUGAGUAAAACAAACAAAUAAAUCAAAACUUUCAACAACGGAUCUCUUGGUUCUGGCAUCGAUGAAGAACGCAGCAAAAUGCGAUAAGUAAUGUGAAUUGCAGAAUUCAGUGAAUCAUCGAAUCUUUGAACGCACAUUGCGCCCGCUGGUAUUCCGGCGGGCAUGCCUGUUCGAGCGUCAUUUCAACCCUCAAGCCCCCGGGUUUGGUGUUGGGGAUCGGCUCUGCCUCACGGCGGUGCCGCCCCCGAAAUACAUUGGCGGUCUCGCUGCAGCCUCCAUUGCGUAGUAGCUAACACCUCGCAACUGGAACGCGGCGCGGCCAUGCCGUAAAACCCCAACUUCUGAAUGUUGACCUCGGAUCAGGUAGGAAUACCCGCUGAACUUAAGCAUAUC
This 460-nucleotide ribosomal RNA is filed under the name Fusarium lateritium. Its description in RNAcentral is "eukaryotic LSU rRNA". The stretch from base 94 to 247 matches the Rfam family "5.8S ribosomal RNA". Lineage: Eukaryota; Fungi; Ascomycota; Sordariomycetes; Hypocreales; Nectriaceae. The record is from RNAcentral.